UACGAAGGGGGCUAGCGUUGCUCGGAAUUACUGGGCGUAAAGCGUACGUAGGCGGCUUUCUAAGUCGGGGGUGAAAUCCUGGAGCUCAACUCCAGAACUGCCUUCGAUACUGGAGAGCUUGAGUCCGGGAGAGGUGAGUGGAACUGCGAGUGUAGAGGUGAAAUUCGUAGAUAUUCGCAAGAACACCAGUGGCGAAGGCGGCUCACUGGCCCGGUACUGACGCUGAGACGCGAAAGCGUGGGGAGCGAACAGG
Molecule: ribosomal RNA, 253 nt
Filed under: uncultured bacterium
Lineage: Bacteria
Description: partial 16S ribosomal RNA
Rfam family: Bacterial small subunit ribosomal RNA
Source: RNAcentral